This 67-nucleotide transfer RNA is filed under the name Marmota monax (woodchuck). RNAcentral's name for it is "tRNA.Ala". Lineage: Eukaryota; Metazoa; Chordata; Mammalia; Rodentia; Sciuridae. The record is from RNAcentral.
GGUUGUGGCUCAGCGGUAGAGCACUCGCCUAGCACAUUUGAGGCCCUGGGUUCACUCCUCAGCACCA